GGCCAGACUCCUACGGGAGGCAGCAGUGGGGAAUAUUGCACAAUGGGGGAAACCCUGAUGCAGCGACGCCGCGUGAGCGAUGAAGUAUUUCGGUAUGUAAAGCUCUAUCAGCAGGGAAGAAAAUGACGGUACCUGACUAAGAAGCCCCGGCUAACUACGUGCCAGCAGCCGCGGUAAUACGUAGGGGGCAAGCGUUAUCCGGAUUUACUGGGUGUAAAGGGGGCGCAGACGGCAGCGCAAGCCAGGAGUGAAAGCCCGGGGCCCAACCCCGGGACUGCUCUUGGAACUGCGCGGCUGGAGUGCAGGAGGGGCAGGCGGAAUUCCUGGUGUAGCGGUGAAAUGCGUAGAUAUCAGGAGGAACACCGGUGGCGAAGGCGGCCUGCUGGACUGCGACUGACGUUGAGGCCCGAAAGCGUGGGGAGCAAACAGGAUUAGAUACCCCCGUAUG
Molecule: ribosomal RNA, 448 nt
Filed under: uncultured bacterium
Lineage: Bacteria
Description: partial 16S ribosomal RNA
Rfam family: Bacterial small subunit ribosomal RNA
Source: RNAcentral